Molecule: ribosomal RNA, 335 nt
Filed under: uncultured bacterium
Lineage: Bacteria
Description: bacterial SSU rRNA
Rfam family: Bacterial small subunit ribosomal RNA
Source: RNAcentral
GACGAACGUUGGCGGCGUGCUUAAUACAUGCAAGUCAACUGAAGCAGAGGUAGUAAUAUCUCUGUGGAGGUGGCGCACGGGUGAGUAACACGUAGGUAAUCUGCCUUCAGGUCUGACAUAACCUCGAGAAAUCGGGGCUAAUAGCAGAUGAUGCAGCGGCUUGACAUCAAGACAGUUGUUAAAGCUUCGGCGCCUGAAGAUGAGCCNGCGUCUGAUUAGCUAGUUGGCGGAGUAACAGCCCACCAAGGCUACGAUCAGUAGCUGGUCUGAGAGGAUGAUCAGCCACACUGGAACUGAGACACGGUCCAGACUCCUACGGGAGGCAGCAGUAGGAA